This 415-nucleotide ribosomal RNA is filed under the name uncultured microorganism. RNAcentral describes it as "bacterial SSU rRNA". It matches the Rfam family "Archaeal small subunit ribosomal RNA", at positions 330 to 749 of the family's 1478-position model. The record is from RNAcentral.
GUGCAGCAGGCGCGAAAACUUUACAAUGUGCGAAAGCACGAUAAGGGAACUCUGAGUGCCUCCUAAGGAGGCUGUUCAGGUGUCUAAAAGCACCUGAAGGAAGGGCUGGGUAAGACCGGUGCCAGCCGCCGCGGUAACACCGGCAGCCCAAGUGGUAGCCACGUUUAUUGGGUCUAAAGCGUCCGUGGCCGGCUGGGUAAGUUCCUUGGGAAAUUUGGCUGCUUAACAGUCAAGCUUUCAGGGAAUACUGCCCGGCUUGGGGACCGGGAGAGGUCAGAGGUACUCCAGGGGUAGGGGUGAAAUCCAUUAAUCCUUGGGGGACCACCGGUAGCGAAGGCGUCUGACCAGACCGGGUCCGACGGUGAGGGACGAAGGCUAGGGGCGCGAACCGGAUUAGAUACCCCUGUAGUCCCUA